UCAUUUAGAGGAAGGAGAAGUCGUAACAAGGUUUCCGUAGGUGAACCUGCGGAAGGAUCAUUGUCGAUACCUGCAAAGCAGACAGCGAACUCGUGCCUAACUCUAACUCUCUCCCGCCGGCGCGCUCCCUCCAGGGGCCGCGCCGUGCGGGCUAACGAACCCCGGCGCGGAAUGCGCCAAGGAAUACUCAACGGAGCGUCCACCCCGGCACCCCGUUCGCGGGUCCUGCCGGGCGACCGGACGUCUUGAAAAUGUCAUAACGACUCUCGGCAACGGAUAUCUCGGCUCUCGCAUCGAUGAAGAACGUAGCGAAAUGCGAUACUUGGUGUGAAUUGCAGAAUCCCGUGAACCAUCGAGUCUUUGAACGCAAGUUGCGCCCGAAGCCUUUGGCUGAGGGCACGUCUGCCUGGGCGUCACGCAUCGCGUCGCCCCCCCUUCCGAAACGGGCUGGGGGAGCGGAUACUGGCCUCCCGUGCGCCUCGGAGCGCGGCUGGCCCAAAUGCGAUCCCUCGGCGACUCGCGUCACGACAAGUGGUGGUUGAACGCUCAAUCUCUUGCGCCGUCGUGACGCCGUGUCGUCGGCACGGGCAUCCAACAGCGACCCUUCGGUGACGGAGCCUCACGGCGCCGCACCCUCGACCGCGACCCCAGGUCAGGCGGGAUUACCCGCUG
Molecule: ribosomal RNA, 672 nt
Filed under: Salvia axillaris var. axillaris
Lineage: Eukaryota; Viridiplantae; Streptophyta; Magnoliopsida; Lamiales; Lamiaceae
Description: eukaryotic LSU rRNA
Rfam family: 5.8S ribosomal RNA (bases 262-416)
Source: RNAcentral